RNAcentral lists this ribosomal RNA (1113 nucleotides) under uncultured bacterium. RNAcentral's name for it is "bacterial SSU rRNA". It matches the Rfam family "Bacterial small subunit ribosomal RNA", at positions 9 to 1104 of the family's 1533-position model. The record is from RNAcentral.
GAGUUUGAUCCUGGCUCAGGACGAACGCUGGCGGCGCGCUUAACACAUGCAAGUCGUACGGGAUCAGGGCUUCGGCUCUGGUUCAGUGGCGAACGGGUGCGUAACACGUGAGCAAUCUGCCUUGGGGUGGGGGAUAACCCGUGGAAACGCGGGCUAAUACCGCAUGACCUUGCGAUCCCGCAUGGGGAUGCAAGGAAAGGAGCUUAACGGCUUCGCCUUGAGAGGAGCUCGCGGCGUAUCAGGUAGAUGGUGGGGUAACGGCCUACCAUGCCAACGACGCGUAGCCGAUCUGAGAGGAUGAUCGGCCACAUUGGGACUGAGAUACGGCCCAGACUCCUACGGGAGGCAGCAGUGGGGAAUCUUGCGCAAUGGGCGAAAGCCUGACGCAGCGACGCCGCGUGGGGGAGGAAGCUCUUCGGAGUGUAAACCCCUGUCAGGAGGGAAGAACGGGCGCCUCAGGAAAUGGGGGCGUUUUGACGGUACCUCCAAAGGAAGCACCGGCUAACUCUGUGCCAGCAGCCGCGGUAAUACAGAGGGUGCGAGCGUUGUUCGGAAUUACUGGGCGUAAAGCGCGCGCAGGCGGUCCUUUAAGUCUACCCGUGAAAUGCCGGAGCUCAACUCCGUGCACGCCGGGGGAUACUGGAGGACUGGAGACGAGUAGAGGCAAGCGGAAUUCCGGGUGUAGCGGUGGAAUGCGUAGAUAUCCGGAAGAACACCGGAGGCGAAGGCGGCUUGCUGGGCUUGGUCUGACGCUGAGGCGCGAAAGCGUGGGGAGCGAACAGGAUUAGAUACCCUGGUAGUCCACGCCGUAAACGAUGGGCACUAGACGCGGGUGGGAUCGACCCCUUCCGUGUCGCAGCUAACGCGCUAAGUGCCCCGCCUGGGGAGUACGGCCGCAAGGCUGAAACUCAAAGGAAUUGACGGGGGCCCGCACAAGCGGUGGAGCAUGUGGUUUAAUUCGAAGCAACGCGAAGAACCUUACCUGGGCUUGACAUCUACGGGAAACCUCGGUGAAAGCCGAGGCCCUCUUCGGAGUUCGUAGACAGGUGCUGCAUGGCUGUCGUCAGCUCGUGUCGUGAGAUGUUGGGUUAAGUCCCGCAACGAGCGCAACCC